Molecule: ribosomal RNA, 359 nt
Filed under: uncultured Paenibacillus sp.
Lineage: Bacteria; Bacillati; Bacillota; Bacilli; Caryophanales; Paenibacillaceae
Description: bacterial SSU rRNA
Rfam family: Bacterial small subunit ribosomal RNA
Source: RNAcentral
UCCGCAAUGGGCGAAAGCCUGACGGAGCAACGCCGCGUGAGUGAUGAAGGUUUUCGGAUCGUAAAGCUCUGUUGCCAAGGAAGAACGUCUUCUAGAGUAACUGCUAGGAGAGUGACGGUACUUGAGAAGAAAGCCCCGGCUAACUACGUGCCAGCAGCCGCGGUAAUACGUAGGGGGCAAGCGUUGUCCGGAAUUAUUGGGCGUAAAGCGCGCGCAGGCGGUUCUUUAAGUCUGGUGUUUAAACCCGAGGCUCAACUUCGGGUCGCACUGGAAACUGGGGGACUUGAGUGCAGAAGAGGAGAGUGGAAUUCCACGUGUAGCGGUGAAAUGCGUAGAUAUGUGGAGGAACACCAGGGCGA